Molecule: unclassified non-coding RNA, 345 nt
Filed under: soil metagenome
Description: partial contains 5.8S ribosomal RNA, internal transcribed spacer 2, and large subunit ribosomal RNA
Rfam family: 5.8S ribosomal RNA (bases 1-120)
Source: RNAcentral
GAUGAAGAACGUAGCGAAAUGCGAUACGUAAUGUGAAUUGCAGAAUUCAGUGAAUCAUCGAGUCUUUGAACGCACAUUGCGCCCCCUGGUAUUCCGGGGGGCAUGCCUGUCCGAGCGUCAUUGCUGCCCUCAAGCACGGCUUGUGUGUUGGGCCUCCGUCCUCCUCCCGGGGGACGGGCCCGAAAGGCAGCGGCGGCACCGCGUCCGGUCCUCGAGCGUAUGGGGCUUCGUCACCCGCUCUUGUAGGCCCGGCCGGCGCUUGCCGACACAUCAAUCUUUUUUCCAGGUUGACAUCGGAUCAGGUAGGGAUACCCGCUGAACUUAAGCAUAUCAAUAAGCGGAGGA